RNAcentral lists this long non-coding RNA (199 nucleotides) under Manihot esculenta (cassava). Its description in RNAcentral is "long non-coding RNA (MESC_LNC003867)". Lineage: Eukaryota; Viridiplantae; Streptophyta; Magnoliopsida; Malpighiales; Euphorbiaceae. The record is from RNAcentral.
CUAAAGAGGAAGGUGGAGCCUCCUUUUGAAUUUUGAAUGUGCAUGGCAUGAAGUGGGAAACAUGUGAUCUUCAAGAUUUGGCUUCUUGAAUAAGGAAGAGGCAAUUAGGGGGGACUUUCGGCUGCCUAAACUUGUUUUCGGAAGCUGGACUUUCGGCUCUGGAGCAAACUUUCGGCCGCCGAAGGUGCCGCCGAAGAUG